GACGAACGCUGGCGGCGUGCUUAACACAUGCAAGUCGAACGAAGAGCGAUGGAAGCUUGCUUCUAUCAAUCUUAGUGGCGAACGGGUGAGUAACGCGUAAUCAACCUGCCCUUCAGAGGGGGACAACAGUUGGAAACGACUGCUAAUACCGCAUACGAUCUAAUCUCGGCAUCGAGGAUAGAUGAAAGGUGGCCUCUACAUGUAAGCUAUCACUGAAGGAGGGGAUUGCGUCUGAUUAGCUAGUUGGAGGGGUAAAGGCCCACCAAGGCGAUGAUCAGUAGCCGGUCUGAGAGGAUGAACGGCCACAUUGGGACUGAGACACGGCCCAGACUCCUACGGGAGGCAGCAGUGGGGAAUCUUCCGCAAUGGACGAAAGUCUGACGGAGCAACGCCGCGUGAGUGAUGACGGCCUUCGGGUUGUAAAGCUCUGUUAAUCGGGACGAAAGGCCUUCUUGCGAAUAGUGAGGAGGAUUGACGGUACCGGAAUAGAAAGCCACGGCUAACUACGUG
Molecule: ribosomal RNA, 510 nt
Filed under: uncultured bacterium
Lineage: Bacteria
Description: partial 16S ribosomal RNA
Rfam family: Bacterial small subunit ribosomal RNA
Source: RNAcentral